Molecule: ribosomal RNA, 397 nt
Filed under: uncultured bacterium
Lineage: Bacteria
Description: bacterial SSU rRNA
Rfam family: Bacterial small subunit ribosomal RNA
Source: RNAcentral
GGAAUAUUGGACAAUGGGCGCAAGCCUGAUCCAGCCAUGCCGCGUGAGUGAUGAAGGCCCUAGGGUUGUAAAGCUCUUUCACCGGUGAAGAUAAUGACGGGAACCGGAGAAGAAGCCCCGGCUAACUUCGUUCCAGCAGCCGCGGUAAUACGAAGGGGGCUAGCGUUGUUCGGAAUUACUGGGCGUAAAGCGCACGUAGGCGGAUUGUUAAGUGAGGGGUGAAAUCCCAGGGCUCAACCCUGGAACUGCCUCCAAAACUCCUGGUCUUGAGUUCGAGAGAGGUGAGUGGAAUUCCGAGUGUAGAGGUGAAAUUCGUAGAUAUUCGGAGGAACACCAGUGGCGAAGGCGGCUCACUGGCUCGAUACUGACGCUGAGGUGCGAAAGUGUGGGGAGCAAA